GCCCCACCGGAGCUGGGCUGGGCUGGGCUGGGUAAGUUCAGAGCCUCUCACCUGAGAGCUGACUGGCCAUCCUU
Molecule: microRNA precursor, 74 nt
Filed under: Choloepus hoffmanni (Hoffmann's two-fingered sloth)
Lineage: Eukaryota; Metazoa; Chordata; Mammalia; Pilosa; Megalonychidae
Description: miRNA (ENSCHOG00000014248.1)
Source: RNAcentral